GCACUGUUUCGGCUAGGGGGCCAUCCCGGCUUACCAACCCGAUGCAAACUGCGAAUACCGGAGAAUGUUAUCACGGGAGACACACGGCGGGUGCUAACGUCCGUCGUGAAGAGGGAAACAACCCAGACCGCCAGCUAAGGUCCCAAAGUCAUGGUUAAGUGGGAAACGAUGUGGGAAGGCCCAGACAGCCAGGAUGUUGGCUUAGAAGCAGCCAUCAUUUAAAGAAAGCGUAAUAGCUCACUGGUCGAGUCGGCCUGCGCGGAAGAUGUAACGGGGCUAAACCAUG
This 286-nucleotide ribosomal RNA is filed under the name Salmonella enterica subsp. enterica serovar Richmond. RNAcentral describes it as "partial 23S ribosomal RNA". It matches the Rfam family "Bacterial large subunit ribosomal RNA", at positions 907 to 1191 of the family's 2925-position model. Lineage: Bacteria; Pseudomonadati; Pseudomonadota; Gammaproteobacteria; Enterobacterales; Enterobacteriaceae. The record is from RNAcentral.